ACACCUCAACUCUCGUGGCCCGCCACGAUGAGCUUGGACUUUGGAGGUCUUGCCGGCGUACCGUCGGCUCCUCUCAAACGAAUCAGCUUGCCAGUGUUUGGUGGCAUCACAGGUGUGAUAACUAUCUACGCUUGUGGUUCUCCACCAGGCGACCUCCAGCGAUGGAGGUUCGCUGGAGCUCACAAAUGUCUCUCCUGAGCGAGGACAGCUUUUUGAAC
RNAcentral lists this unclassified non-coding RNA (218 nucleotides) under uncultured Thelephoraceae. RNAcentral's name for it is "sequence contains ITS2". The record is from RNAcentral. Lineage: Eukaryota; Fungi; Basidiomycota; Agaricomycetes; Thelephorales; Thelephoraceae.